This 168-nucleotide small nuclear RNA is filed under the name Solanum lycopersicum (tomato). Its description in RNAcentral is "U2 spliceosomal RNA". It matches the Rfam family "U2 spliceosomal RNA". From Rfam's summary of the family: U2 is a small nuclear RNA (snRNA) component of the spliceosome (involved in pre-mRNA splicing). Complementary binding between U2 snRNA (in an area lying towards the 5' end but 3' to hairpin I) and the branchpoint sequence (BPS) of the intron results the bulging out of an unpaired adenosine, on the BPS, which initiates a nucleophilic attack at the intronic 5' splice site, thus starting the first of two transesterification reactions that mediate splicing. Lineage: Eukaryota; Viridiplantae; Streptophyta; Magnoliopsida; Solanales; Solanaceae. The record is from Rfam by way of RNAcentral.
AUACCUUUCUCGGCCUUGGCUAAGACUAAGUGAAGUAUCUGUUUUAUCAAUUUAAGAUCUGAUAUUAACUUAAUUUUUUGAAAGGGACUUAACUAUAGUAGCUUGCUAUUGAGACUCUCAAAUGUUGCAUUGGUCUUAUACUUGGAUCCUUGUAGAAAUAGAAGUACA